Molecule: transfer RNA, 69 nt
Filed under: Ictidomys tridecemlineatus (thirteen-lined ground squirrel)
Lineage: Eukaryota; Metazoa; Chordata; Mammalia; Rodentia; Sciuridae
Description: Spermophilus tridecemlineatus (thirteen-lined ground squirrel) tRNA
Rfam family: tRNA
About the family: Transfer RNA (tRNA) molecules are approximately 80 nucleotides in length. Their secondary structure includes four short double-helical elements and three loops (D, anti-codon, and T loops). Further hydrogen bonds mediate the characteristic L-shaped molecular structure. tRNAs have two regions of fundamental functional importance: the anti-codon, which is responsible for specific mRNA codon recognition, and the 3' end, to which the tRNAs corresponding amino acid is attached (by aminoacyl-tRNA synthetases). tRNAs cope with the degeneracy of the genetic code in two manners: having more than one tRNA (with a specific anti-codon) for a particular amino acid; and 'wobble' base-pairing, i.e. permitting non-standard base-pairing at the 3rd anti-codon position.
Source: Rfam by way of RNAcentral
GGGGUUGUGGCUCAGUGGUAGGGUGCUUGCCUUUCAUGUGAGAGGCACUGGGUUCAAUUCUCAGCACCA